Molecule: transfer RNA, 71 nt
Filed under: Loxodonta africana (African savanna elephant)
Lineage: Eukaryota; Metazoa; Chordata; Mammalia; Proboscidea; Elephantidae
Rfam family: tRNA
About the family: Transfer RNA (tRNA) molecules are approximately 80 nucleotides in length.
Source: Rfam by way of RNAcentral
UCACUGGUGGUUCAGUGGUAGAAUUCUCACCUUCCAUGUGGGAGACCCGGGUUCGAUUUUCAGCCAGUGCA